GCCAGGCACGGUGGUGCGUGCCUGUAGUCCCAGCUACUCGGGAGGCUGAGGUGGGAGGAUCACCUGAGCCCAGGAGUUCUGGGCUGUAGUGCGCUAUGCCGACUGGGUGUCUGCACUAAGUUCGGCAUCAAUACGGUGACCUCCCGGGAGCGGGGACCACCAGAUUGCCUAAGGAGGGGUGAACCGGCCCAGGUAGGAAACGGAGCAGGUCAAAAUUCCCGUGCUGAUCAGUAGUGGGAUCCGGCCUUUGAAUAGCCACUGCACUCCAGCCUGGGCAACAUAGCGAGACCCCAUCUCU
RNAcentral lists this signal recognition particle RNA (298 nucleotides) under Cebus imitator (Panamanian white-faced capuchin). RNAcentral's name for it is "Metazoan signal recognition particle RNA (ENSCCAG00000008847.1)". It matches the Rfam family "Metazoan signal recognition particle RNA". Rfam says of the family: The signal recognition particle (SRP) is a universally conserved ribonucleoprotein. It is involved in the co-translational targeting of proteins to membranes. The eukaryotic SRP consists of a 300-nucleotide 7S RNA and six proteins: SRPs 72, 68, 54, 19, 14, and 9. Lineage: Eukaryota; Metazoa; Chordata; Mammalia; Primates; Cebidae. The record is from RNAcentral.